This 1429-nucleotide ribosomal RNA is filed under the name marine metagenome. Its description in RNAcentral is "bacterial LSU rRNA". It matches the Rfam family "Bacterial large subunit ribosomal RNA", at positions 1503 to 2925 of the family's 2925-position model. The record is from RNAcentral.
AUAUGUUCGUAGGGCUAUGAGGGAGUCUAGUAGGCAAAUCCGCUAGAAUAAUCCUAGGUAGCUCUCAAGGGGAAUCUUCGGAGGAACCAAUGGUGUGGAGCUAGGCUUUCAAGAAAGAACUUCUAUCCGCUGUAGGUGACCGUACCAAAACCGACACAGGUGGGUGUGAAGAAUAUUCUCAGGCGCGCGAGAGAACUCUAGUUAAGGAACUCGGCAAAUUAUUCCCGUAACUUCGGAAGAAGGGAAGCCACAGGAUGUGAGUGAACUUGCUUCACAAAGCAUCAGGUGGCCGCAGAGAAAUGGCCCAGGCGACUGUUUAACAAAAACACAGCACUAUGCAAAGCCGCAAGGCGCAGUAUAUGGUGUGAUGCCUGCCCAAUGCCAAAAGGUCAAAGGGAAGUGUUAGCCUUCGGGCAAAGCACCGAACCCAAGCCCUGGUGAAUGGCGGCCGUAACUAUAACGGUCCUAAGGUAGCGAAAUUCCUUGUCGGGUAAGUUCCGACCUGCACGAAUGGCAUAACGAUCUGGGCGCUGUCUCAACUAGAGACUCGGUGAAAUUGUAGUAGCGGUGAAGAUGCCGUUUACCCACAACGGGACGGAAAGACCCCGUGAACCUUUACUGUAUCCUGAUAUUGGCUCUUGAUGUAGCAUGUGUAGGAUAACCAGGAGACGUCGAAGGCGGCUCGUCAGGGCUGUUGGAGUCAUCCUUGAAAUACUGGUCUUGUUACAUUGAGAAUCUAACGUUUUCCUGUGAAUCCAGGUAACGAACAUUGUCAGGUGGGCAGUUUUACUGGGGCGGUAUCCUCCUAAAAAGUAACGGAGGAGUCCAAAGCUUACCUCAUCUUGGUUGGCAAUCAAGAGAAGAGCGUAAAGGUAUAAGGUAAGUUGACUGCGAGACCUACAAGUCGAGCAGAGACGAAAGUCGGGCUUAGUGAUCCGGCGGUGGAAAGUGGAAUCGCCGUCGCUCAACGGAUAAAAGGUACUCCGGGGAUAACAGGCUUAUCGCCACCAAGAGUUCAUAUCGACGUGGCGGUUUGGCACCUCGAUGUCGGCUCAUCGCAUCCUGGGGCUGUAGCAGGUCCCAAGGGUUUGGCUGUUCGCCAAUUAAAGCGGUACGCGAGCUGGGUUCAAAACGUCGUGAGACAGUUUGGUCCCUAUCUGUUGUGGGCGUAGGAUACUUGAGAGGAGCUGCUCCUAGUACGAGAGGACCGGAGUGGACGAACCAAUGGUGAACCAGUUGUUCUGCCAAGAGCAUAGCUGGGUAGCUACGUUCGGAAAGGAUAAGCGUUGAAAGCAUCUAAACGCCAAGCCUCCCUCAAGAUAAGGUAUCCCACGAGACCCCAUGUAGACUACGUGGUUGAUAGGUAGCAUGUGUACGCACAGCAAUGUGUUUAGCUAAGCUAUACUAAUUGGUCGAUAGACUUGGUCAU